CAGACGACUGCUGUGCUCUCUGUUGAUAAUAAUUCUUUUCUCCCCAAACGAUGAGUUUAUGGCUACCCUUUCUUUUAUUUUCAUGACAAGAAAUUACAGAAACAAGUGGAAUCAAUAUUCACAAUCCUAUGUGUUUUUAUAUAUGCUAUAGAGUAAAAAUCGUGGCCCAUUUUUCUGUGAGUGUGUGUUUUUCCUUUGACGAUAGAACCUGUCAAAUGGAAAUGAUAAAAUGGCUUGAAAACUUUGUGAACUAGGGUCUUGUGCUGAACUGUGGACUGUAUAGAUAAAGGCUAUCACGCGGCUAGAUAACCAUAUCGUCUCCCCUUUUUUUAUUUAAAUAAAAAAUAACUUAUUUCCUCGUUUAAAUGAAUUAUACCAACAGACUGUUCAAGAGUUUUCUGUGUGUUACCGAUUGUUUCACCAGCUUAAUUGAAGUAGCUCUGACGAGCUUGUGACGUGAUGAUUACGUUCAGCAACCAAAGCUAUUCAACUCUACACGUACCCUACAUGCUGUAUACAAGGGACACAAAAGUUGAAAUGAAAAGUCAUGUUUUUUACUUUUUGAGGGGUGAAGAAGGGAGCGAUCUGUUAUUAUUUUAUAAUCAGACCUUGCUCGAGGAUGAACUUGCCUCGUUUCACGCAAUCUUUUUCCCCCUACAGUAGCAGGACAUAUAGAUGUUCCAUCAUUGGUUUUUAAAGCUUUAAAACGUAACUUUCCGUGAUGUGACACAUUACCAGCAUUGUUUGACUCAGUUGUGAAUUUUUGGAAAAGGAAAAAUCGGGGUAAAGUAUUCUAAGCAAUUCGUUCAGAACAGAGAAAUUCAGAAAAUGAAACUAAUGCGAUGCCAGUGAACCCAACGGAGGAAAUGUCACCACCGUGUUACGUAAAGAAUUUCGACACGCGUUUAUGCACACCUGUCCUUGCUCUCCCGGAAUCGACUUUAUGCUCCGUUGUACACACAGGCUGUGUGUAUGUUGCGGUCAUUGAUCGUCGAGAACUGCACGCGUGAAGUCAUUCGCAACUGGUUUAACGUGCUUUUGCUGCCGUCGACUGCAGUCAGGGGAGACUAUCGUAUAUACAUAUUUAUUUCAUUAUCAUUUCUCCCUAAAAGGUAUGGGAGGGUAUAUCGAAAGACACGCAUAUAACGACACACACCAGACUAGUUUUUCUCCCAACAACUAAAUUUCCUGAUUUUCUUUUUGUAAUCUCACAGAGCAUUUCCACAAAAAGAAAAAAAGAACACCGAAGUUCUUAGUAGUACCACCUUCUUUUUUUAACCAGGUGGUCUUUUAAAAAAGAUCCAAAAGGGAACUUCAAAGUCUCAAAAAAACAUUCAGGUUCUAUGUACAAGGUCGUGUGUUGUCUCCAGCUGCAACUGUUUUGUGUACUAUCGUAUCCUUUUUUUUUGUAGUUUGAAUUUUGAACGAGAGAUAUUAUAAUAUUAUUAUUAUUAUAAUAAAGCUCCCAACUUGUUCUUCUUCUUUGGGAAUUUACUGGUAAACAAAACAACAGCACUGUUGCUUCCACCGAAGCGUAUCAAAUGAAGUAAGAGUGAUGCAGCAAAUCGGCCGUUCCAGUCGUUUGACUGCCGAGCUUAGGACAACAGCUGCA
This 1612-nucleotide long non-coding RNA is filed under the name Daphnia magna. RNAcentral's name for it is "uncharacterized LOC116921246". Lineage: Eukaryota; Metazoa; Arthropoda; Branchiopoda; Diplostraca; Daphniidae. The record is from RNAcentral.